Molecule: ribosomal RNA, 332 nt
Filed under: uncultured bacterium
Lineage: Bacteria
Description: bacterial SSU rRNA
Rfam family: Bacterial small subunit ribosomal RNA
Source: RNAcentral
UGCGCAGGCGGCCAAGUGUGUUAGGCGUGAAAGCCCGGGGCUUAACCCCGGAAUUGCACCUAAAACUACAUGGCUAGAGUACUGGAGAGGGUAACGGAAUUCACGGUGUAGCAGUGAAAUGCGUAGAUAUCGUGAGGAACACCAGAGGCGAAGGCGGUUACCUGGACAGUUACUGACGCUCAGGCACGAAAGCGUGGGGAGCAAAAGGGAUUAGAUACCCCUGUAGUCCACGCCCUAAACUGUGCACACUAGGUCUUGGCGGAUUCGACCCCACCAGGGCCCAAGCUAACGCGUUAAGUGUGCCGCCUGAGGACUACGGCCGCAAGGCUAAA